This 107-nucleotide small nucleolar RNA is filed under the name Gossypium hirsutum (cotton). RNAcentral's name for it is "Plant small nucleolar RNA R71". It matches the Rfam family "Plant small nucleolar RNA R71". Rfam says of the family: R71 is a member of the C/D box family of snoRNAs containing the C (UGAUGA) and D (CUGA) box motifs. The record is from Rfam by way of RNAcentral. Lineage: Eukaryota; Viridiplantae; Streptophyta; Magnoliopsida; Malvales; Malvaceae.
AAUACAUGGUAAGGGAACCUUCUCAAAAGAUCCUUGUAUCUCUCCCAUGCAUCAUAGAGUGUUUCGAGAUCCAUUUGCACAAAAGAAGAGAUGUCAUUCCUCAACUU